GACGAACGCUGGCGGCGUGCUUAACACAUGCAAGUCGAACGGUAAGGCCCUUCGGGGUACACGAGUGGCGAACGGGUGAGUAACACGUGGGUGAUCUGCCCUGCACUUCGGGAUAAGCCUGGGAAACUGGGUCUAAUACCGGAUAGGACUCCGGACUGCAUGGUCUGGGGUGGAAAGCUUUUGCGGUGUGGGAUGGGCCCGCGGCCUAUCAGCUUGUUGGUGGGGUGAUGGCCUACCAAGGCGACGACGGGUAGCCGGCGUGAGAGGGUGAACGGCCACACUGGGACUGAGAUACGGCCCAGACUGCUACGGGAGGCAGCAGUGGGGAAUAUUGCACAAUGGGCGCAAGCCUGAUGCAGCGACGCCGCGUGAGGGAUGACGGCCUUCGGGUUGUAAACCUCUUUCAGCAUCGACGAAGCGAAAGUGACGGUAGGUGCAGAAGAAGGACCGGCCAACUACGUGCCAGCCGCCGCAGUAA
Molecule: ribosomal RNA, 478 nt
Filed under: uncultured bacterium
Lineage: Bacteria
Description: partial 16S ribosomal RNA
Rfam family: Bacterial small subunit ribosomal RNA
Source: RNAcentral